UCAUGCGUGUGUAUUUUAUGUGUUAUGUGACGUCACAAUUACGCCACGUUUGACUGCUGGUAAUCAUUUUUUAUCUUUCUUUUCCGAUCACCUCGCAGUCCAAGUGUACUGUUGCAUUUAUAUCUGCCAACAUCCAUCUUGUUUAAAUAGUUACCCCUGAGCGGCCCUGUGUUUGCCUGCUAUCUUGUCCUAAAAUUGUUCGGUCGGGAACCAGAUGGGGAAUCCAAAUUGAUACUGCAAAGGUUAUAUGAGAUAAAAAAAGGAGCUGUUUCUGUAUCUUUGGUACCAAUUUCAAAUUGAUACAUUUCUGUGCGGGUGGUGAGGUUGUGGGCAUCAGUUUCCGGCACUAAUAACUGAUCUGAUUCCACCGGCCGGGAACCAGUUGGGGAAACCAAAUCGAUACUGCGAAGGAUAAAGGUUAUAACAGACAAAAAUGAGCUGUUUCUGUAUCUUUGGUACCAAUUUCAAAUUGAUACAUUUCUGUGCGGGUGGUGAGGUUGUGGGCAUCAGUUUCCGGCACUAAUAACUGAUCUGAUUCCACCGGCCGGGAACCAGUUGGGGAAACCAAAUCGAUACUGCAAAGGAUAAAGGUUAUAACAGACAAAAAUAAGGUAUUGAGGGCAAAAACAGUCGAUAAAUAACACGGAUGUUUUGUUACCUACACCUCAUCUCCGCUUAUGAGAAGCCACGUUUGAAACUUUCUGGGUGACUGUUAUUAUUUUUAUUUUAUGACCACCAGUUUGAGCAACCAAUUAGGGUGUACUGGGUUGAAGGCUUUUUUUGGAUGGAACCAGCGGUCUCUGGUGACGCAUCCUCAUUGUCAGAUACUGACGUUGCAGUCUUCCCAAUAGGAGCAUGU
Ciona intestinalis (vase tunicate) is the source of this 859-nucleotide non-coding RNA. Lineage: Eukaryota; Metazoa; Chordata; Ascidiacea; Phlebobranchia; Cionidae. The record is from RefSeq and is a predicted model, not a curated record.